AGAUGCAUUACUGGGCGACUCUCCCUCUGGCAGAAGCUGUAUUAUAUUAUUUUAGCCAGUUCUUAAUUAAAAUUAGCUCUCUGCCAAAGGAGAUUUGUCCCGCAAUUCAUCG
RNAcentral lists this microRNA precursor (112 nucleotides) under Ipomoea nil (Japanese morning glory). RNAcentral's name for it is "mir-399 microRNA precursor family". It matches the Rfam family "mir-399 microRNA precursor family". From Rfam's summary of the family: mir-399 was identified in both Arabidopsis thaliana and Oryza sativa computationally and was later experimentally verified. mir-399 is thought to target mRNAs coding for a phosphatase transporter. The mature sequence is excised from the 3' arm of the hairpin. Lineage: Eukaryota; Viridiplantae; Streptophyta; Magnoliopsida; Solanales; Convolvulaceae. The record is from Rfam by way of RNAcentral.